UACGGGGGGGGCAAGCGUUGUUCGGAAUUACUGGGCGUAAAGGGCUCGUAGGCGGCCAACUAAGUCGGAUGUGAAAUCCCCAAGCUUAACUUGGGAACUGCAUCCGAUACUGGAUGGCUUGAAUCCGGGAGAGGGAUGCAGAAUUCCAGGUGUAGCGGUGAAAUGCGUAGAUAUCGUAAGGAAGACCAGUGGCGAAGGCGGGUCUCUGGACAGUUCCUGACGCUGAGGCGCGAAGGCCAGGGGAGCAAACGGG
RNAcentral lists this ribosomal RNA (253 nucleotides) under uncultured bacterium. RNAcentral's name for it is "partial 16S ribosomal RNA". It matches the Rfam family "Bacterial small subunit ribosomal RNA", at positions 524 to 776 of the family's 1533-position model. The record is from RNAcentral.